This is a long non-coding RNA of Triticum aestivum (bread wheat), 862 nucleotides long. RefSeq lists it as uncharacterized. NCBI's taxonomy places the organism in Eukaryota, Viridiplantae, Streptophyta, Magnoliopsida, Poales, Poaceae. The transcript is spliced from 5 exons. The record is from RefSeq and is a predicted model, not a curated record.
AUCUUUACGGUUGUACUGCUGGUUUAGUCCUAUGCAUAGACGGUCCUCUUCCUGGUUGAUUAGGUGCUUGUAGGCCAUUGGUUCAUGCCCGUGCUUGUAUAGUAUGGCCUGUUUUCUUACCUUUUGCUAAUUCCCAGUAAACUACAAGACUUGCUCAAGUUAGUGCAUUAAAAGAAACAUAUGCAGCAAGUGAUAGUUGCUGCUUGCUAAUAAAGGAAUGAUGCCUCCAUCAAUAGAAAAUAAAUAUGUAGGUUACAAAAUACAGUCAGACAUAUACACCACUUGCUUAUUGUUUUUAAACAUGCUUGCUUUUUCUUUUAUCUUUCAUAAACCUCUGAUUCCUUUCAGGUUUCCGAUUUCCUUUUGUUCUACAGGCGUUGUUAUCAUUACUUCCUCUCCCCUCGCUGGCUCGUCAUCUGCUUGCUAUCAAGGUCUUCCUUUGCGACGUCUGGCUGCCUGACCGGCUAAUUUUCUCACUCCCGGUUCGCCAAGUUUCUGCUGUGGUUCAGUUCAUGUGACGCCUUGCGCCCUGUCUUUCAUCUUGCCAAGAUGACAGCAGUUAAACAAGAAGAAGCAGACAUAACCAGUGAUAUCAGCGGUGGCCAAAUUACCCAUGCCGAACCACUGUGUCGCAAGCACAAUAAGCCAUUUGAGUAUAUUCAUCGCCCACGCAAAGCAGGUUCAAUCCAAAAGUUCAAAGGCAAGAAAAUCCAACUAAAGCCUGGAAAGUACAUUCUCCGUGGUGAGCCUUGCAUCCACUACUUAGAUGAGUUUAGUCGCCACAUUGUGGGGGCAACAUAGUUAAGCUCUACAACCAUAAUGUUUCUAGACUGCGAAAGAUCAUCCGCACCACCACCAUGCC